GUGUGUGUGUGUGUGUUGAGGUGCAAAAAAUUUUGAGCUGCUUCUUUUACCGCUAUUGAUAUAAUUAGUAGGCAUCAAACUUUAUACCUCUUGAUUUCUCAAGCUGUUCUCUAAACGCUGCGCCAAGGCUUCUUUUCUAUAAAGGAAGAAACUCUUUCUAUGUUAAACAUUAACUUUGACGGGAAAAAAGUUGAUUAAAAUUUUUAUCGGAUCUUUAUAUAAAGUUAAAAGAGUGUUUUAAGUUGUUCAGAUUUUAUAAAAAACAAAUAUCACGUCAGAUUUUCUGCGAUCAAAGUCAAAUGUUCAACAAUAUGGAACUAAAACAGCUAAUACAACCGGGAAAAAAAUUUAUUCAAGCAGGCAGAUUUGACUUGUGAUAGAAAUAAUCUUUUACAUCUUUCAGAUAGAUCGGACGAAGAAGUUUGUGAAAUGGACAUGAUACUAUGUGUU
Molecule: long non-coding RNA, 450 nt
Organism: Hydra vulgaris (swiftwater hydra)
Lineage: Eukaryota; Metazoa; Cnidaria; Hydrozoa; Anthoathecata; Hydridae
Source: RefSeq, a predicted model, not a curated record